RNAcentral lists this long non-coding RNA (353 nucleotides) under Sinocyclocheilus grahami. RNAcentral describes it as "lncRNA (ENSSGRG00000024076.1)". Lineage: Eukaryota; Metazoa; Chordata; Actinopteri; Cypriniformes; Cyprinidae. The record is from RNAcentral.
AUUUCAUAGUGGACCUCAGAUUUAUCUUCGAGGGCAGACAACUGGAGGUGGGUCGUACACUUGGCUCUUAUGGCGUACUAAACGAAUCUACUAUUCAUGCAGUUCAACGUCUACGUGGUGGAGCUCCACCUGAAGAUGAAGAUGUAGAAAGCUCCAAGAGUGCAUAUAGGGAAGUAUUAGCUUCAACGCAGCACACUGAGCCAGAACCCAAUACAUCAUGUUUGAUUUUGUAGUUCAGUGCAUCCUCAUAUAAAUCCAACACAUUGUACAAAUAUGAAAAAUAUAAACAGUCACAAUGAACUGCUCAGCUGUACCUGUAAACACCACGUGUAGCUAAAGACUCAGCAGUUGAC